RNAcentral lists this long non-coding RNA (636 nucleotides) under Bos indicus x Bos taurus (hybrid cattle). Its description in RNAcentral is "lncRNA (ENSBIXG00000019382.1)". The record is from RNAcentral. Lineage: Eukaryota; Metazoa; Chordata; Mammalia; Artiodactyla; Bovidae.
GGAAUUUUUAAAGCUGUCCAUGUGAUUCCACUCUUCAGUCCCAGCUCAGAAUUCUGCUCCAAGAUCUCUGCAGACCUUGGGAAGAAAGGCUGAAGGAAGCCUUGCCCAGCAUUGUGCUCUGGGGGUCCAGUGACCGGGCAGCACGUCUGGGGGCUCACCUCCAUCCCCCCUCACCUAACAACACUCUGUGCCGGGGUGCCUGGCCCACAUCUACAAAUGGGUCCACAGAGCAUGCCCCAGGAAACAGCAGUUGCUUCAGCUUGGGUGCUGAGUGAAGAGUCCUGUGAAGCCAACUGGAAGUCUCUCUAUAGCCUGGAGCAGAACUGCAGCUCACCCAUCUGCCCUCAUGCACGUGACCAAGAGGUGAUGCUGAAGCUGCAGCUCUGGAGACCUCACUCGGAGAACCACCGCCCUACAGGAAGCAAAGCCCAGAGAAUUCUUCCUGCUCUGAUAACCUGGCGAUUAAAUAGGAUCCACCGAAUGUGGCAUUUGACUUGCCAUUUCUUACGAAGAAAUUGGCUGUGACAUGGGGGCAGUUUGUGUUUCUGGAGGAACUAGUCUCUGACUGAAGCAUUAAGAGGACCUGGACAAAGCCUGAGGCAGAAAGCCUCUUGGUAAGCUAAAGCACAUGUGUAU